GAUGAAGAACGUAGCGAGAUGCGAUACGUAAUGUGAAUUGCAGAAUUCAGUGAAUCAUCGAGUCUUUGAACGCACAUUGCGCCCCCUGGUAUUCCGGGGGGCAUGCCUGUCCGAGCGUCAUUGCUGCCCUCAAGCCCGGCUUGUGUGUUGGGUCUCGUCCCCCUUCCCGGGGGGACGGGCCCGAAAGGCAGCGGCGGCACCGCGUCCGGUCCUCGAGCGUAUGGGGCUUUGUCACCCGCUCUGUAGGCCCGGCCGGCGCUUGCCGAUCAACCAAAACUUUUUUCCAGGUUGACCUCGGAUCAGGUAGGGAUACCCGCUGAACUUAAGCAUAUCAAUAAGCGGAGGA
RNAcentral lists this unclassified non-coding RNA (346 nucleotides) under soil metagenome. Its description in RNAcentral is "partial contains 5.8S ribosomal RNA, internal transcribed spacer 2, and large subunit ribosomal RNA". The stretch from base 1 to 120 matches the Rfam family "5.8S ribosomal RNA", at positions 35 to 154 of the family's 154-position model. The record is from RNAcentral.